ACUCCUACGGGAGGCAGCAGUGGGGAAUAUUGCACAAUGGGGGAAACCCUGAUGCAGCCAUGCCGCGUGUGUGAAGAAGGCCUUCGGGUUGUAAAGCACUUUCAGUAGGGAGGAAGGUAGUGUAGUUAACACCUGCAUUAUUUGACGUUACCUACAGAAGAAGCACCGGCUAACUCCGUGCCAGCAGCCGCGGUAAUACGGAGGGUGCGAGCGUUAAUCGGAAUUACUGGGCGUAAAGCGCAUGCAGGCGGCCUGUUAAGUCAGAUGUGAAAGCCCGGGGCUUAACCUCGGAAUUGCAUUUGAAACUGGCAGGCUAGAGUCUUGUAGAGGGGUUAGAAUUUCAGGUGUAGCGGUGAAAUGCGUAGAGAUCUGAAGGAAUACCAGUGGCGAAGGCGGCCCCUGGACAAAGACUGACGCUCAGAUGCGAAAGCGUGGGAGCAAACAGGAUUAGAUACCCCUGGUAGGUCAGUC
This 471-nucleotide ribosomal RNA is filed under the name uncultured bacterium. RNAcentral's name for it is "bacterial SSU rRNA". It matches the Rfam family "Bacterial small subunit ribosomal RNA", at positions 335 to 800 of the family's 1533-position model. The record is from RNAcentral.